UUUAUUUAUUAAUUAUUUUGGUACCAAAUUUCUUUAUUUGAAGGAAUGGUACAAAUCAAAGAACUUAAGUGGAUGUUUUGGUACAACUUAUAGAAAAGGUAAAGGAAACCCUAACGUGCACGCACUGCCUUGGUGACCAAGGAAGGCACCCCACGGCUAUGGGGAAAUUAGCCUGAGACUUAGCUUUCAUUAUCACUGUCUCCCAGGGUGUGCUUGUCGAAGAGAUAUUCUGCCGAGCCAGAUUCGGGCGCUCCCAUCUUGCGCAAGUUGGUCACGUGGUCACUCAAUUCUUUGAUGGCUUUCACCUGCUCAUUCAGGUAAUGUGUCUCAAUGAAGUCACACAAAUGGGGGUCAUUUUUGUCAGUGGCCAGUUUGUACAGUUCCAGUAGUGACUGAUUCACAUUUUUUUCCAAAUAUAAUGCACACUCCAUCGCAUUCAGCCCGCUCUCCCAGUCAUCACAGUCUGGUUUCUUGAUAUCCUGAAGGAAGAUUCGGCCACCUCGUUGGUUCUGCAGCUUCAUCAGUUUCUCAGCAUGUUCCCUCUCCUCAUGAGAUUGGUAAAGAAAGUAUUUGGCAAAGUUCUUCAAAGCCACAUCAUCGCGGUCAAAGUAUAAGACAUGGACAGGGCACUAAUAUACACAUGAUGAUACUUAAUUCUCUCAGAAAACCUUUGGCAAAGACACUUUCUACAUCUUGAAGGCAAGGAAUCUGAAUCUUGAAGAGAUUAAAUGAAUUGUCCAAAGUCACGUGGGGGUUUGGGAGAAGGAAAAUCAUGAACACACAUUCUUCUACUCUGGAGAAGUGGGGAAGGUGACCUGGGAAACCAUCUGAAAGGGAGCAGGAUGGAUUCUAUAAAAUAUAGAGUGUUCAAUGAAAACAACCUGAUGCUCCUCCCAGUACCAUCACAUUUUUCUAGCUGCAUAUCCUUAGGAACCACAUUCUACUUGUGUAGGAGCUGCGACAGUAACCAACUCAUCCUGCCCUACUCACAGUAUAGCAUCUUUAGGCAUUGACUACAAUCAGCCAAGUCACCGGCUGAGGGGAAGAACAAGAACCAACCUUGAACUAUGAUCUAAGACAAGCUAUAUUUACAUAUGGCUGCUGCAAUGGUCUCCAGGUACAAUGAGACGAAGACUUACAAUAAAGAAUGUCAACUGAAGGAAAUGAAGAAGUAAAUAACCAGACAUAAUUGGCCCCUACUGCCCUCCCCUUGGCAGUUCCUCAAGAACUCUGUAGGAGUCAUCAUUACCUCAUUUAGUCUCCUCAGCAACAAAUAAGAGAAAUAUUAUCUCCAUUUUACAGAAGCACAGACUGCAGAGAUUGAGUUCCCCCAGGAGCACACAAGCUGUACUGUACCUAAGGUCCUAAAACAUAUUGGUGAUAUGGAAGGUAGACAAAAUGGCCAAAUAGAAGCCUUCACCCAUUGUUCUCCCUGCAGAAACACUAAAUUGAACAACUAUCCACACAUAAAUCACCUUCAUAUGAAGCAAAAAUCAGCCACAUUAAACAAUGAUGAGUUCAAAUGGAAACAUACAGCCUUUCAACACUGGCUCCAAGAGAUGGCAUCUAGAAGAAACAGACUGAUUCUGCAGAGUUCUGAAGGGAGCAGGUGACUUAGCAAUUCUGUCUUCAGUUUCUCUGUGAACAUCAUCAAUGUUUUCCUGUGCUCCAGUUGUCAAACUUCAUCAGCGAAAUGUUGGGGUCAUUUAAAGCUGCUGCUUUGCAUUCACUGAAACGACUAACAACCACAAGGAAACAUGAUUUCUCCGACAGCAAUGAAUAAAACAAUUGCCUGACUAAAGAGGAGAUAUCCUCUUUAGAUAAAACGACUGAAGACCCAUUACCAAAAUAGGGAAAAAGAAACAAUCUCUAUGAAAGAGUUU
RNAcentral lists this long non-coding RNA (1883 nucleotides) under Homo sapiens (human). RNAcentral's name for it is "HSALNT0348041". Lineage: Eukaryota; Metazoa; Chordata; Mammalia; Primates; Hominidae. The record is from RNAcentral.